GACUCCUCCAACCCCUGUGACAUACCACUUGUUGCCUCGGCGGAUCAGCCCGCUCCCGGUAAAACGGGACGGCCCGCCAGAGGACCCCUAAACUCUGUUUCUAUAUGUAACUUCUGAGUAAAACCAUAAAUAAAUCAAAACUUUCAACAACGGAUCUCUUGGUUCUGGCAUCGAUGAAGAACGCAGCAAAAUGCGAUAAGUAAUGUGAAUUGCAGAAUUCAGUGAAUCAUCGAAUCUUUGAACGCACAUUGCGCCCGCCAGUAUUCUGGCGGGCAUGCCUGUUCGAGCGUCAUUUCAACCCUCAAGCACAGCUUGGUGUUGGGACUCGCGUUAAUUCGCGUUCCCCAAAUUGAUUGGCGGUCACGUCGAGCUUCCAUAGCGUAGUAGUAAAACCCUCGUUACUGGUAAUCGUCGCGGCCACGCCGUUAAACCCCAACUUCUGAAUGUUGACCUCGGAUCAGGUAGGAAUACCCGCUGAACUUAAGCAUAUCAAUAAGGCGGAGGAA
This 506-nucleotide ribosomal RNA is filed under the name Fusarium oxysporum. Its description in RNAcentral is "eukaryotic LSU rRNA". The stretch from base 139 to 292 matches the Rfam family "5.8S ribosomal RNA". The record is from RNAcentral. Lineage: Eukaryota; Fungi; Ascomycota; Sordariomycetes; Hypocreales; Nectriaceae.